UUUGAGUGCGUGUCAGUGUGUGUUCUCUGAAUAUUGGUGAUGAUGGCGCUAGAGGCGAGUUGAGAAUCUCUAAUGACGAAAAUGGGUCUGGGUUUUUUGCAAUAAUGACGUGCGUAUCCCUGUCUUCAAAUGGCGUUUGCCUGCACUGCUCCGGUCGUAUAAAAUAUUAUAAUUUUAUUUUUUUAUCCAAUGUACAAAAAUAAUAUGCAUAAAAUUUAUAAAAUUAUUUCUAUUAGCAAUA
This is a long non-coding RNA of Ziziphus jujuba (common jujube), 241 nucleotides long. RefSeq lists it as uncharacterized. Lineage: Eukaryota; Viridiplantae; Streptophyta; Magnoliopsida; Rosales; Rhamnaceae. The transcript is spliced from 2 exons. The record is from RefSeq and is a predicted model, not a curated record.